GACGUAGGGCGCGAGCGUUGUCCGGAUUUAUUGGGCGUAAAGAGCUCGUAGGCGGUCUGUCGCGUCGGCUGUGAAAUCCCGGAGCUCAACUCCGGGUCUGCAGUCGAUACGGGCAAACUGGAGUACUGCAGGGGAGACUGGAAUUCCUGGUGUAGCGGUGAAAUGCGUAGAUAUCAGGAGGAACACCGGUGGUGUAGACGGCUCUCUGGACCGUAACUGACGCUGAGACACGAAAGCGUGGGUAGCAAACAGG
Molecule: ribosomal RNA, 253 nt
Filed under: uncultured bacterium
Lineage: Bacteria
Description: partial 16S ribosomal RNA
Rfam family: Bacterial small subunit ribosomal RNA
Source: RNAcentral